Molecule: non-coding RNA, 186 nt
Filed under: Brevibacillus borstelensis
Lineage: Bacteria; Bacillati; Bacillota; Bacilli; Caryophanales; Paenibacillaceae
Also listed under: 1 other name
Description: Lysine sequence
Rfam family: Lysine riboswitch aptamer
About the family: Riboswitches are metabolite binding domains within certain messenger RNAs that serve as precision sensors for their corresponding targets.
Source: RNAcentral
CAGUGAGGUAGAGGUUGCGAUAUUUAACAGUCCUUGGCGGAGUUCGAGAAAGCGUUGAUGCCAGGGAGAAGGAAAUGUCGCCGAAGCUUGCAAUAUUUCUCGGUAUUGCAUUGCUGGGUCUGCAGUUAAGAGCUGCAGGACUGUCUCAAUAAAUGACCCGAUUUAUUGAGUUGUGCUAUCUCAUCU